This 610-nucleotide ribosomal RNA is filed under the name uncultured bacterium. RNAcentral describes it as "bacterial SSU rRNA". It matches the Rfam family "Bacterial small subunit ribosomal RNA", at positions 338 to 942 of the family's 1533-position model. The record is from RNAcentral.
CCUACGGGAGGCAGCAGUGGGGAAUUUUGGACAAUGGGCGCAAGCCUGAUCCAGCAAUGCCGCGUGAGUGAAGAAGGCCUUCGGGUUGUAAAGCUCUUUUGUCAGGGAAGAAACGGUGGGAGCUAAUAUCUCCUACUAAUGACGGUACCUGAAGAAUAAGCACCGGCUAACUACGUGCCAGCAGCCGCGGUAAUACGUAGGGUGCAAGCGUUAAUCGGAAUUACUGGGCGUAAAGCGUGCGCAGGCGGUUUUGUAAGUCUGUCGUGAAAGCCCCGGGCUCAACCUGGGAAUUGCGAUGGAGACUGCAAGGCUUGAAUCUGGCAGAGGGGGGUAGAAUUCCACGUGUAGCAGUGAAAUGCGUAGAGAUGUGGAGGAACACCGAUGGCGAAGGCAGCCCCCUGGGUCAAGAUUGACGCUCAUGCACGAAAGCGUGGGGAGCAAACAGGAUUAGAUACCCUGGUAGUCCACGCCCUAAACGAUGUCUACUAGUUGUCGGGUUUUAAUUAACUUGGUAACGCAGCUAACGCGUGAAGUAGACCGCCUGGGGAUACGGUCGCAAGNUUAAAACUNAAAGAUGACGNNGAGAGNGCGAGACGACGACGAGGAGAGG